AACGAACGCUGGCGGCAGGCUUAACACAUGCAAGUCGAGCGCCCCGCAAGGGGAGCGGCCGACGGGUGCGUAACGCGUGGGAACGUACCCUUAUCUUCGGGAUAGCUCCGGGAAACUGGAAUUAAUACCGAAUGUGCUCUUUGGGGGAAAGAUUUAUCGGAUAAGGAUCGGCCCGCGUUGGUUUUGCUAGAUGGUGGGGUCAAGGCCUACCAAUGCGACGAUCCUUAGCUGGUCUGAGAGGAUGAUCAGCCACAUUGGGACUGAGACACGGCGCUAGCUCCUACGGCAGGCAGCAGUGGGGAAUGUUGGACGAUGGGCGCAAGCCUGAUCCAUACAUGCCGCGUGAGUGAUGAAGUCCUUAGGGUUGUAAAGCUCUUUCACCGGAGAAGAUAAUGACGGUACCCGAAGAAGAAGCCCCGGCUAACUUCGUG
This 431-nucleotide ribosomal RNA is filed under the name uncultured bacterium. RNAcentral's name for it is "partial 16S ribosomal RNA". It matches the Rfam family "Bacterial small subunit ribosomal RNA", at positions 29 to 507 of the family's 1533-position model. The record is from RNAcentral.